Podarcis lilfordi (Lilford's wall lizard) is the source of this 114-nucleotide non-coding RNA. The record is from the annotation of a GenBank genome assembly. Lineage: Eukaryota; Metazoa; Chordata; Lepidosauria; Squamata; Lacertidae.
GUUGGCUAUGGAGACAUCUACCCUAAAACACUCUUAGGUAAGAUCGUCGGUGGCUUGUGUUGCAUUGCUGGUGUCUUAGUCAUUGCGCUCCCUAUACCAAUCAUUGUAAAUAAC